RNAcentral lists this ribosomal RNA (305 nucleotides) under uncultured bacterium. Its description in RNAcentral is "partial 16S ribosomal RNA". It matches the Rfam family "Bacterial small subunit ribosomal RNA", at positions 508 to 807 of the family's 1533-position model. The record is from RNAcentral.
ACAGCAGUCGCCGCGGUAAUACGUAGGUGGCAAGCGUUGUCCGGAAUUAUUGGGCGUAAAGGGCUCGCAGGCGGUUUCUUAAGUCUGAUGCGAAAGCCCCCGGCUCAACCGGGGAGGGUCAUUGGAAACUGGGAAACUUGUGUGCAGAAGAGGAGAGUGGAAUUCCACGUGUAGCGGUGAAAUGCGUAGAGAUGUGGAGGAACACCAGUGGCGAAGGCGACUCUCUGGUCUGUAACUGACGCUGAGGAGCGAAAGCGUGGGGAGCGAACAGGAUUAGAGACCCCGGUAGUCCCUGUCUCUUAUAC